AUUGAACGCUGGCGGCAUGCCUUACACAUGCAAGUCGAACGGCAGCACGGGAGCUUGCUCCUGGUGGCGAGUGGCGAACGGGUGAGUAAUACAUCGGAACGUACCCUGAAGUGGGGGAUAACGUAGCGAAAGUUACGCUAAUACCGCAUAUUCUGUGAGCAGGAAAGAGGGGGAUCGCAAGACCACUUGCUUUAGGAGCGGCCGAUGUCGGAUUAGCUAGUUGGUGAGGUAAAGGCUCACCAAGGCGACGAUCCGUAGCGGGUCUGAGAGGAUGAUCCGCCACACUGGGACUGAGACACGGCCCAGACUCCUACGGAGGCAGCAGUGGGGAAUUUUGGACAAUGGGCGCAAGCCUGAUCCAGCCAUGCGCGUGAGUGAAGAAGGCCUUCGGGUUG
RNAcentral lists this ribosomal RNA (395 nucleotides) under uncultured bacterium. Its description in RNAcentral is "bacterial SSU rRNA". It matches the Rfam family "Bacterial small subunit ribosomal RNA", at positions 30 to 425 of the family's 1533-position model. The record is from RNAcentral.